Molecule: long non-coding RNA, 731 nt
Organism: Bubalus bubalis (water buffalo)
Lineage: Eukaryota; Metazoa; Chordata; Mammalia; Artiodactyla; Bovidae
Gene: NBDY
Product: negative regulator of P-body association
Exons: 3
Source: RefSeq, a predicted model, not a curated record
ACGGAAAAAGCGAAACCCAGAGGAAGCCCUUUGCCUGGAAGGGACCCGCCGCCAUCUCAGGUCUCUUGGCCUCGCCAGGGCCCACCGGAGAGAGCUGACACCCAGGUCCUAUAAUCCUUAUGGGGGACCAACCUUGUACCUCCGGGAGAUCCACGCUCCCACCUGGAAACACGCGGGAAACGAAGCCUCCAAAAAAGCGCUGCCUCCUAGCUCCACGUUGGGAUUACCCUGAAGGAACCGCUAACGGAGGUAACACCACUCUCCCUUCUACACCUCCUCCAGCAUCAUCGGGCCUGAAGUCGCAUCCACCUCCUCCAGAGAAGUAGUACAAUAUACUUCUUCCACUCUAAACCAGUCUAUGAGGGAUUGCAGUAUGACUUCAUUUCCUUGGUGUAUUCAUAAAAUAGUUCACUCAGUGAAGACAAUGAAGAUUACUGACAUUGCCACCCUGCUUUUUCUGAUGUCCUGCACCAGGAAGUUGUGAUUUUUAAGUCUUACGAUAUAAUCAUCAAAAUUUCACCUCCUGUAUUUGGAUGGAUUCUGGAACAUGACCAGUAGAUCUCUAAAUUUGAAGACCCCAGCAUGGAUUGUGGUGACCUCACCAAAGCAAAUAAUGCCUGUGAGGUGGUCCUGCAGCAGCCAGUCAAUGCUCUCUUUUGGUGACACUGUCUUUGCUGUAUAACUUUGAAUUCUUAUAAAUCCAUUAAGUUUCCAAUAAAGUUUUUCUCUCA